CAGGCCUUCGGGCGCUGACGAGUGGCGAACGGGUGAGUAAUGCAUCGGAACGUGCCCAGUCGUGGGGGAUAACGCAGCGAAAGCUGUGCUAAUACCGCAUACGAUCUGUGGAUGAAAGCGGGGGACCUUCGGGCCUCGCGCGAUUGGAGCGGCCGAUGUCAGAUUAGGUAGUUGGUGGGGUAAAGGCUCACCAAGCCAACGAUCUGUAGCUGGUCUGAGAGGACGACCAGCCACACUGGGACUGAGACACGGUCCAGACUCCUACGGGAGGCAGCAGUGGGGAAUUUUGGACAAUGGGCGCAAGCCUGAUCCAGCAAUGCCGCGUGCAGGAAGAAGGCCUUCGGGUUGUAAACUGCUUUUGUACGGAACGAAACGGUCCUGGUUAAUACCUGGGGCUAAUGACGGUACCGUAAGAAUAAGCACCGGCUAACUACGUGCCAGCAGCCGCGGUAAUACGUAGGGUGCGAGCGUUAAUCGGAAUUACUGGGCGUAAAGCGUGCGCAGGCGGUGCUGUAAGACAGGCGUGAAAUCCCCGGGCUCAACCUGGGAAUUGCGCUUGUGACUGCAGU
This 569-nucleotide ribosomal RNA is filed under the name uncultured Hydrogenophaga sp. RNAcentral's name for it is "bacterial SSU rRNA". It matches the Rfam family "Bacterial small subunit ribosomal RNA", at positions 72 to 639 of the family's 1533-position model. Lineage: Bacteria; Pseudomonadati; Pseudomonadota; Betaproteobacteria; Burkholderiales; Comamonadaceae. The record is from RNAcentral.